This 497-nucleotide ribosomal RNA is filed under the name uncultured bacterium. Its description in RNAcentral is "partial 16S ribosomal RNA". It matches the Rfam family "Bacterial small subunit ribosomal RNA", at positions 28 to 507 of the family's 1533-position model. The record is from RNAcentral.
GACGAACGCUGGCGGCGUGCCUAAUACAUGCAAGUUGAGCGCUGAAGGUUGGUACUUGUACCAACUGGAUGAGCAGCGAACGGGUGAGUAACGCGUGGGGAAUCUGCCUUUGAGCGGGGGACAACAUUUGGAAACGAAUGCUAAUACCGCAUAAAAACUUUAAACACAAGUUUUAAGUUUGAAAGAUGCAAUUGCAUCACUCAAAGAUGAUCCCGCGUUGUAUUAGCUAGUUGGUGAGGUAAAGGCUCACCAAGGCGAUGAUACAUAGCCGACCUGAGAGGGUGAUCGGCCACAUUGGGACUGAGACACGGCCCAAACUCCUACGGGAGGCAGCAGUAGGGAAUCUUCGGCAAUGGACGAAAGUCUGACCGAGCAACGCCGCGUGAGGGAAGAAGGGUUUCGGAUCGUAAAACUCUGUUGGUAGAGAAGAACGUUGGUGAGAGUGAAAAGCUCAUCAAGUGACGGUAACUACCCAGAAAGGGACGGCUAACUACGUG